Long non-coding RNA from Nilaparvata lugens (brown planthopper), 651 nucleotides. RefSeq lists it as uncharacterized. Lineage: Eukaryota; Metazoa; Arthropoda; Insecta; Hemiptera; Delphacidae. The transcript is spliced from 2 exons. The record is from RefSeq and is a predicted model, not a curated record.
UUCGAAUUGCAUGCCACUUGUGUAUUUCAGACAUUCGAGUAUCUCAUAGUACGUUACACUACAGAACUUGGUGAAGUUUCAGGGUUAUUGUGAUAACUGAUGUGGUUGGUUUUCAGAUGGCUGAAUUUCUGAUCGAACGUAACAGCUCGGUGACAAGAAAGAACGAAGACCCCUCCAUUACACCUCAUAAAUGGGAUACAAUGACCUUGUGCGCCUUGUGCUCCACAACUGUGGAGCCGACAUCAACGCUCAAGAUAAGAUGAUACCAAAACAUAUUACACAGUGUAGAUGAACAGAUAGAAAGUGUGAACAUCAAAAGCCAUCGUGUGUUUGUUACCCAGUUUCCAUUCUGCAUCUAACAAUAGUAACCGAACAUCCAACAUCAUAACUUUAUUAUAUCAUCUAGUUAAUUUUGAUAUCACAUUAACUAAAAAGCUUUCCUCAUAAUAUACAAGAAAUUAAUACAUUGCCGAGAUUGUCAAAGAUGUGAAUUUUCAAUGUGCUUUGAUGCAAAUUAUUGCAAAAAACUAAUAUCAUGUUUAGCUAUGCAUAAAUUAAUAGGCAUGAUGGUCAUUCUUUACUGAAUCGAAAUAAGCUGUUAUAACUUUGUCAACUAUUAAUUUGGUUUUCAAUAAACUAGUUAUGAUCAGA